Molecule: small RNA, 687 nt
Filed under: Pan troglodytes (chimpanzee)
Lineage: Eukaryota; Metazoa; Chordata; Mammalia; Primates; Hominidae
Description: processed transcript
Source: RNAcentral
CAGCACCCAAAGGAAGCCGAGCUGGAGCUAAAGAUCCCGGCUCCGGAGCCAUCUGACCGGUUUUGAGACCUCCAGCUCGUCGCCGUCCUGGCUGCGAGAGCUUGGGCACGGCGCCGGGGCUCAGUCUCCGCUUCUGUGAAAUGGCGAUAACUGUUACCUAACCAAACUCCUGCAAAACCACACCACCUAUGCCUGUGAUGGGGACUAUUUGAAUCUACAGUGCCCUCGGCAUUCUACGAUAAGUGUCCAAUCGGCAUUUUAUGGGCAAGAUUACCAAAUGUGUAGUUCCCAGAAGCCUGCCUCCCAGAGGGAAGACAGCUUAACCUGUGUGGCAGCCACCACCUUCCAGAUGAAUUAAAAAACAAAACUGUGUGUGAAGACCAGGAGCUAAAACUGCACUGCCAUGAAUCCAAGUUCCUCAACAUCUACUCUGCGACCUACGGCAGGAGGACCCAGGAAAGGGACAUCUGCUCCUCCGAGGCAGAGCGGCUCCCCCCUUUCGAUUGCUUGUCUUACUCAGCUUUGCAAGUCCUAUCCCGAAGGUGCUAUGGGAAGCAGAGAUGCAAAAUCAUCGUCAACAAUCACCAUUUUGGAAGCCCCUGUUUGCCAGGCGUGAAAAAAUACCUCACUGUGACCUACGCAUGUGUUCCCAAGAACAUACUCACAGCGAUUGAUCCAGCCAUUGCU